This 253-nucleotide ribosomal RNA is filed under the name uncultured bacterium. RNAcentral describes it as "partial 16S ribosomal RNA". It matches the Rfam family "Bacterial small subunit ribosomal RNA", at positions 524 to 776 of the family's 1533-position model. The record is from RNAcentral.
UACGAAGGGGGCUAGCGUUGCUCGGAAUUACUGGGCGUAAAGGGAGCGUAGGCGGACAGUUUAGUCAGAGGUGAAAGCCCAGGGCUCAACCCUGGAAUUGCCUUUGAUACUGAUUGUCUUGAGUAUGGGAGAGGUGAGUGGAACUCCGAGUGUAGAGGUGAAAUUCGUAGAUAUCGAGAGGAACACCGGUGGCGAAGGCGGCCAACUGGACGAAUACUGACGCUGAGACUCGAAAGCGUGGGGAGCAAACAGG